GCAAACUUGGUCAUUUAGAGGAAGUAAAAGUCGUAACAAGGUUUCCGUAGGUGAACCUGCGGAAGGAUCAUUAACGAAUAACUAUGGUGGGCUGUCGCUGCCUCUUCGGAGGAAUGUGCACGUCCACCAUUUUUAUCUAUCCACCUGUGCACCGACUGUAGGUCUGGAUAACUCUCGUCUUCACCUCGCAAGGGGCCGUUGACGGAUGCGAGGAUUGCUCUCUCGGGCGCUCUCCUCGAAUUUCCAGGUCUACGUCUUUUACACACCCCAAAAGUAUGAUAUAGAAUGUAGUCAAUGGGCUUCUCAGCCUAUAAAACACUAUACAACUUUCAGCAACGGAUCUCUUGGCUCUCGCAUCGAUGAAGAACGCAGC
This 373-nucleotide unclassified non-coding RNA is filed under the name uncultured fungus. RNAcentral's name for it is "partial contains small subunit ribosomal RNA, internal transcribed spacer 1, and 5.8S ribosomal RNA". The stretch from base 1 to 73 matches the Rfam family "Eukaryotic small subunit ribosomal RNA", at positions 1759 to 1831 of the family's 1831-position model. The record is from RNAcentral. Lineage: Eukaryota; Fungi.